Long non-coding RNA from Pan troglodytes (chimpanzee), 962 nucleotides. RefSeq lists it as uncharacterized. NCBI's taxonomy places the organism in Eukaryota, Metazoa, Chordata, Mammalia, Primates, Hominidae. The transcript is spliced from 3 exons. The record is from RefSeq and is a predicted model, not a curated record.
GUCCCAUUCCAGGUCUUGCCCAAGUCUUUCUGAUUGGUGGAACUUAAAUCACACCCAAAAUUCCAGCUGCAGGAGAGCUCUGAGAUUUCAUCUUUCCAACCUCUGUGUGCUACGUGGGGGUUGGAGCACUUGCUGACAAGCCUUGCAACCACCAUUGACAGGAUGUCCUCCACCUUUUCAAUCUGAUUUGCUCUUUGCCAUGCAGACCUGUGGAUGAAGAGCCAGAGUCCUCCAAGGUGAAGCUGGACUGAAUAUUUCUGUCCGUAAGACUAUUAGAAUCCCCCACAGUGGGAUACCAGUGAGGACCUCACCAGCAGCUGCUGUCUCUCCAAUGCAGGUAGAUGAGCCUCAGAAAUAACCGCUGCUUGUGGUUUGCUGUGUAUUCCUCUAGAUGUUUUUCUUUACACAUAUUAGUGAGUGUGGAGAGAGAGUGUGUAUGUGUUCUGUAAAUUUGAUUACACUGCGCAUUUAUUCCGAAAUCCGUUUCACUUUACCGUUGGAACGUAAGCUCUGUGAGGGCAGAGACUUUUGUUUAUUGCACUUGCUGUUAGAGCUCUUGUCUGUAACAGUGGCUGGCACAUGGUCACAUCAUAGUAGAAGCUCAAUAAAUAUUUGUUGAAUGAAUGAAAAAAUACGUCCAAGACAUCUUCAGAUUUCAAUAUUUGGAGAAAUGAUUCAUUUUUUUAAGAAGGUUACGUAAUAUAUGGUGAUUUAUUUAGCCACUAUUCUACUGAUAGACAUUUAGGUUGUUUUGGGUUUAACUUAUUACAGAAACAAUACAGGGAAGAUCCUUGUACAAAUUUUUGACGGUUAAAGGGGCUAUUUCUGUAUAAGGGUAUAUAUCAGGAUUCAUUUGCAAAUAUCAGAGAUCACUGUAAUUAAGCAGAAAGGAAUUUAAUCCAGGGCAUUUGGUACUAGAAGGGCUGGAGAAGGCAGUAGGCUCCACUGAGCUUCCAGGAAGG